RNAcentral lists this ribosomal RNA (1523 nucleotides) under uncultured bacterium. RNAcentral describes it as "bacterial SSU rRNA". It matches the Rfam family "Bacterial small subunit ribosomal RNA". The record is from RNAcentral.
GAGUUUGAUCCUGGCUCAGAUUGAACGCUGGCGGCAUGCUUUACACAUACAAGUCGAACGGCAGCGCGGGGCAACCUGGCGGCGAGUGGCGAACGGGUGAGUAAUAUAUCGGAACGUACCCAAGAGUGGGGGAUAACGUAGCGAAAGUUACGCUAAUACCGCAUACGAUCUAAGGAUGAAAGCAGGGGACCGCAAGGCCUUGUGCUCCUGGAGCGGCCGAUAUCUGAUUAGCUAGUUGGUAGGGUAAAGGCCUACCAAGGCUACGAUCAGUAGCUGGUCUGAGAGGACGACCAGCCACACUGGAACUGAGACACGGUCCAGACUCCUACGGGAGGCAGCAGUGGGGAAUUUUGGACAAUGGGCGCAAGCCUGAUCCAGCAAUGCCGCGUGAGUGAAGAAGGCCUUCGGGUUGUAAAGCUCUUUUGUCAGGGAAGGAACGGUAGGGGCUAAUAUCCCCCGCUAAUGACGGUACCUGAAGAAUAAGCACCGGCUAACUACGUGCCAGCAGCCGCGGUAAUACGUAGGGUGCAAGCGUUAAUCGGAAUUACUGGGCGUAAAGCGUGCGCAGGCGGUUUUGUAAGUCUGAUGUGAAAUCCCCGGGCUCGACCUGGGAAUUGCAUUGGAGGCUGCAAGGCUAGAAUCUGGCAGAGGGGGGUAGAAUUCCACGUGUAGCAGUGAAAUGCGUAGAGAUGUGGAGGAACACCGAUGGCGAAGCAGCCCCCUGGGUCAAGAUUGACGCUCAUGCACGAAAGCGUGGGGAGCAAACAGGAUUAGAUACCCUGGUAGUCCACGCCCUAAACGAUGUCUACUAGUUGUCGGGUUUUAAUUAACUUGGUAACGCAGCUAACGCGUGAAGUAGACCGCCUGGGGAGUACGGUCGCAAGAUUAAAACUCAAAGGAAUUGACGGGGACCCGCACAAGCGGUGGAUGAUGUGGAUUAAUUCGAUGCAACGCGAAAAACCUUACCUACCCUUGACAUGGCAGGAAUCCCGAAGAGAUUUGGGAGUGCUCGAAAGAGAACCUGCACACAGGUGCUGCAUGGCUGUCGUCAGCUCGUGUCGUGAGAUGUUGGGUUAAGUCCCGCAACGAGCGCAACCCUUGUCAUUAGUUGCUACGAAAGAGCACUCUAAUGAGACUGCCGGUGACAAACCGGAGGAAGGUGGGGAUGACGUCAAGUCCUCAUGGCCCUUAUGGGUAGGGCUUCACACGUCAUACAAUGGUACAUACAGAGGGCCGCCAACCCGCGAGGGGGAGCUAAUCCCAGAAAGUGUAUCGUAGUCCGGAUUGUAGUCUGCAACUCGACUACAUGAAGUUGGAAUCGCUAGUAAUCGCGGAUCAGCAUGUCGCGGUGAAUACGUUCCCGGGUCUUGUACACACCGCCCGUCACACCAUGGGAGCGGGUUUUACCAGAAGUAGGUAGCUUAACCGCAAGGAGGGCGCUUACCACGGUAGGAUUCGUGACUGGGGUGAAGUCGUAACAAGGUAGCCGUAUCGGAAGGUGCGGCUGGAUCACCUCCUUUCUA